RNAcentral lists this long non-coding RNA (16202 nucleotides) under Zea mays. RNAcentral's name for it is "long non-coding RNA (ZMAY_LNC001815)". The record is from RNAcentral. Lineage: Eukaryota; Viridiplantae; Streptophyta; Magnoliopsida; Poales; Poaceae.
GACAAGAAGAGGCUGGCCACCAGUGGAGCCAACUUUGCGCGCGCCUACACCGUGGAGUUCGGCAGCUGCCAGUUCCCCUACAACUUCACUGGGUGCCAGGACCUCGCCAAGCAGAAGGUUCAUUCUCUCAUCAUCACACACAUAUAUAACAAACCUCACCGCGCGGCCUGCUGACAAUAAUCUGAACUGGUUUCUUCUCAUCCUGUGCCGUGUCGUCCGUGCUUCAUUGUGCUCUUGCAGAAAGUCCCCUUCAUCAGCGACGACCUCGAGAUUGAGUGCGAGGGGAAGGAGAAGUUCAAGUGCGGCUCCAACGUUUUCUGGAAGUGGUGAAGCAGCUAGCAGCAGCGUCUGAUGGGAAUGGAGGAGAUCAUCACCUGUCUUGUCGACCCUAGAUAUGUCCAAACUGCAGGGAAAUUAAAUCUUCAUGUGUAAUUGUGCUCAUUCUGUUUCAAUCAUCUCAACAUCCGAUCAUGAACCUCUUGCAUUAUUAACUGGCUCGAUCGUCUUCUCAGUUUAAGACAUUGGAGGCUGCUUUGUUUGUUUCAGAGGUCCUUCUUAAGAUGAUGCUAUAUUUUGUCAUGGUUAAUGUGAUAAACAGGGUCAGGUCGGAUUAUUCUUGAAUAUAUAAAAUAGAAUUUUAGGCUCUAGCAAACCAGUAUAUGAGCAAAAGAAAAUUUGGAAACAAGAAAGUACCUAGAUGUAAAAAAAUAUGAACAAUAAGAAGAGAAUAAUAACAGUAGUAGUCUAUACCACUAGAUAAUCCAACAGUUUAAACAUUACAAAACUCACCUAACCAAAUCAUCCACACACCAAUAACCUCCACAAACAAAUUGCACCCAGACUUAACAUACCAUUAAAACCAAAGGUUCAGAUCUUCCAUUACUUACUCAAAUCCAAUAACAAUAUUAUUUACAUCAUCUCUCAUCCACCCCCUCUCCCUCCGACUCACUCGUGCCGCCACCACCGUCAACCCCGCCCCUCAUGUCGUCGUCGUCAUCGUCGACCCUUCCCCUCCUCGGGGUCAUAGCCGUAGUGAGAUUGCGUAUAAUGUGUGAGAUGCAUUGCAUUGAGCUUUUAGGGAGAAUAUAGAAGUACAUAACUUGGAGGGCAAGAAGUCUAUCCUAAAGAUGACAAAGGUUAUCCUAGAGAUAAGAAAGGUUAUUCCGAGAUUACAAUCAAUCCAAUCAACCUUAACCAACCAUAUCAGAUUUUGCCUAAUAUCACUACCGGAAUUGGCCGCUUUGCCGAGUGCCUGAAGCACUCGGCAAAGUCUAAAAAACACUCGGCAAAGUCUUUGCCGAGUGUCGCACUCGGCAAAGUCUAUGCCGAGUGUCGCACUCGGCAAAGAGGGCUCGAUGAACAGUGCAUCGGCAAAGACUUCUUUGCCGAGUACUUUUUCUCGGGCACUCUUGCCGAGUGCCAGAAGGUACUCGGCACAGACUUUGCCGAGUGCCAGAAGGUACUCGGCAAAGAAAAGCCGCCGUCACGGUGCCGGGGUGAUGGAGACGUCGUCUUUGCUGAGUGUCUCCUAAUGCACUCGGCAAGCAAGUUCCUCUUUGCCGAGUGUCUGCCGGCUAGCACUCGGCACAGAAUCCAUCAGGGGUCCCUUUGUCAGGUUCUUUGUCGAGUGCUCUGUAUGGCACUCGGCAAAGCGUGCCUCUGUGCCGAGUGCCAGGGCCACUACACUCGGCAAUGAACCUAUACCGGUGCCUAGGUCUUGGUUCUUUGCCGAGUGCUAUGGCCAUGACACUCGGCAAACCCCCUCUUUGCCGAGUCUAACACUCGGCAAAGUGACCAGUACACACCUUUUUAUUUGUUUUUUCUAUUCCAUCCAAACAAACAAAAGAUACAUCACAUAUAUUAUCACAUAUAUCACAUAUAUACAUCAUAGAUAUCAUCACAAACAUAAAAUAUCUAACACAAACAUUAAUAUACAAGUUCUCAACACAAACAUAAGUAUCAACACAAGUCCAGAAGUAUAAAAACAUAAUUUUCAAGCUCUAACAUAAGUAUUCAACACAAGUUCUGAAGUCUGAACACUAAAAACAUAGCUCUCAUCGAGGUGGGCUGUUAGACUGGUGCUACGAUGGGCUGGGCUGUUCAUGAGGGUUGUUGGAUGCCGCCCCAGAUUGGCCUUACACAGAGAAGACAUUGCAUGUUUUAUACCAGAUGCAUUACCAACAUCUAACUACAAUUUUGAUACUCACAGGAGUAUGAAACAAAGUAGGGUCAAUUGUAGGGAACAAUGGAGGUGGUGGAGCGAAACUCUGUGCAGCGCCAAGGCUCUGCAUGUAUUGGAACAUCUCCGCCAUUCUCUGCUAAUCUGCCAGGCGAGCCGCCCGCUCCGCCUCCCGCUCCACCAUCAUCCUUGCCUCCAUCUCGUGACGUUCCCUCCUCUCUUCCUCUAGCUGGGUCUAUAAUAUUACAAGCCAAUGUUAUAGUAACUCAAAGAGAAGGUAUAUAACUCAAGUAAUGACGAGUUACAGAAGCACUAACCUCCAGUUGUUGUAUGCGAUGCUGUGAGCUAUCGUGCCGAGGUCGUGUGGCUGGACUCGAGCCCGUGCUCCUUGCUCGCACCUGAGACAAAGUGGGAGUGGAGGACGAGUCGAUUGCCCCAUCGGCAAUCCAGUACCGCCUCUGUCUCUUGCCUCCUUCGACCCUCAUGAGCACAUCGAGGUCGAUCUCCUUGGUCCUCGGAUCGUAUUCUAGGCCAUGGACCUCCUGCGCCAUGGCGAUAUAGUCAUGAAGGCGACUGUAGACGGCGGGGUUGCUCUACGCCUCGGGCCCGUCAUCCGGGUUGUAGGUGACGUCGGACGUCGCCUUGCCCUUAUGGGCCAUAGCAUAGGCCGAGAAGAUGGAGCAAGGCUGGCCACCAUGUGACGCCGACUUCAAAAAAACCAACGAUAUAGUUAGAAAUAAUAUCUAAUCCAGUGUUAUAUACCUAAAUAAAAAGAGGGCGUACCCAUGCUUCUGCAUAUUUGUCGAGGCUGCGGCUGCCUUGGUGGUGCGAGGGACCUUGCAUCAUUAGACGUCAUUCCCGGCUAGCGUUGUGUGCCUCGUCCCACUCAGUCGAGCACCACCUAUCCACCAUCUGCUCCCAGCACAGAGGAUGUGCGGCGCACCAAUAUGGAAUCAUCUACAAAGUAAACACGUAAACUGCAUAUUAGAAGAUAAAAUUAAAUUCAUGCAUGGAGUACUGGUACCAAACAUGAAUGACUUUACAUGCAGGUACUGGUCCCUGGUCAACGACAUGGUUUGGGCUUGCUGCUUGGUCACCUUCUCCCUAAGGACGGACCGUGGUAGCUGACGAUGGCCUGGAUUUGGGCCUCAUAGUGCAUGUCCACGACGAGCUUCUUACAGUUCGUGGUGGCCACCACAUCCGCCCUAGCCUCGUAUCCAGUCUCGCAUCUGUAGUAAUUCUGCAUACAAAAACGAUGUAUCCAUACAUUAUUUCAAGAAUGUGCAAUGAAUGCAACAUAUUUUACAUUACACUAAAACUUACCCACAGCUCUUGCUUCACCCACUCCGGCUUGUUUUUGAAUUCUCGACCGUCCCGGUCUACUGCAUUGGGUGCGAUGGCGUAGUGGUCGAAGGUGUAGGCUGGGCCCAUCACUCCGGCGUACUCAACCAGUCUAGGGAAGUGUUCCCUGCAUAGCAGGCUGAGGAUGCCAUUGGGGUUGUGACGAUGACCCCCAGCAUUCUCCACAACCGCCCAAGACCUGUCCAAGUGAUAAAUAAAAAGUAUUAGUUUAUAUUAUGAUUUUGAACACAUAAUAUGAACAAGAAUGAAGAACAUAAAGUUUCAUGCCUCUCCCCAUCUGGCCGAAUCAGUGGCCGCCUGUCCCGAAGUUUUGACGCUGAGGGAGACUCACGGGACCUCGCAGGUAGACGCUCCUCGAGCCUCAGGUGCAAGAACCUGAGGCGUCCUGCUGAGCUUCGUCGUCGUCCUGCUGCUGGUCGUGGUCGUCCUGCUGCGCCGCCUGGUGCUGGACAAGGUCGUCCUGCUGCGCCGCCUGUUGUGCCUCGUCCUGCUCUGCCUCGUCCGUCGUCCUGCUCCUCCUCCCCCUCCGCCUCCUCAGCCAACCGCCCACCAUCUUUGUCCAACAACCUGCAAUUAAGAGUAAACAAAUAAGCACAUAUAAAAAGAUGUAUUUAAAAAUAGGUGCGAAAUAAAAAGUCAUAUAGCAUUAAAUCGAUUAAAAAUAAUCUUCAUAUGUGUCGGGGUUAGCCGGAUCAUAACUCUCAUCAUCACUAUCAACCACUUCAUAGCCAACACCAUCUGAAGGCGCAAGUUCGUCAUUAAUGUCAUUGCCUUCAAGGAUUACUAAGUCAUUCUUAUUUUGCACCUCAUCCUCCUCCUCAUCAACAACCAUUUCAAUAUCUACGUCUAUUCCGAUAGCUUCGGUUAAGUCUAUCUCAAAUUGCCCUUCUAGCCCAUCUUCUUGGAAGAACUCUCCAUCAUAUGUGUCCGAGUCUAAGUUAUAAUCUUCAUCGUUAGGAACAAGUAAUCUCCCAUGCGGUGAUACCUUAUACACAACAUCCCAACCCUUAAGAUGUUCUUUCGUUUGACACGCAUAUGGGAGAUAAUACACUUGUGUGGCCUAUUGGGCCACGAUAUAGACAUCGUCUCCUGGUAAGGUGGAAUCUUGUCGAAUUUCGACUAUCCCAAGAUUAGAAUGUGUCCGUCUCGUCACUUGAGGGUCAAACCAAUGACAUUUGAAUAUCACUGGAGUAAGAGGUUUGGAACCAUAAAAAUUAAGUUCAUAUAUUUCUUCGAUUCGUCCAAAAUAAUCGACAUCAUCAAGGCCGGGCGUAAAGACUCCAGAACACGUUGUUUUCCGAUUGGGCCGACUUUGGUUGUAGUUUGUUGUGCGAAAACGGUAUCCAUUGACGUCAUACCCAGAAUAUUUCUUGACCCUAUAAGCAAAGCCGUUGGCUACUUGUCUCAACUCGGCACUCAUAGACGGAUCUCUUUGGCCCUGCAAGUAUUCGCAAGUUAAAAGACACUAAAUUGAGUUCAUAGACGGAUCUCUUUGACAAACUAAGCACGUACCUUACGUUUGAACCAGGAAAUGAAAUCGAGCAAUCCAUUUCUCGCACCCUUUCUAAGAAGAGUAUCAUAUUCCUGUGGAGUUAGGUCCCUUGAUCGACGCCAGAAUUCAUGAAGAAAUUGUUCCAUGUAUGGCGUCACCUCUUCAAGGUUGGUCAAUACAUAUAGCAUGAUAUACCGCCACUCUUCAUGUGUCAGGGUCUUGGUGGUCGAGCCACUUGCGCUUUCGAGUUGGCCUCGAAAUAUGCUGAGGUUCGAUUCAUUAUCACCAUCAUUGUAACGAGGGGGUGGGUUAUGCACGCUUGGUAGUUUGUCACCAUAGUAAGUUGUUGUGAAGUUUGACACCUCCUCUUGAAUGUAUGCCUCUGCAAUGGAAGCCUCGAUUUUGCAUUUAUUUCUACAUUUCUUUUGAAUAGUCUUUAGACAUCUCUCGAUUUGAUAGCACCAACGUCCCUGCACGUGCCCCCCAUUCGUGCCUCAUAGGGGAGAUGAAGAAUCAAAUGCUGCAUUGGAUUGAAGAAGUCGGGGUGGAAAUAUAUUCUCAAGCUUACACAGUAACACGGGUGCCAAUCUUUCCAAGUCUGCAACCAUAGUCCGAGAUAACUCUUUUGCACAAAGCUGAUGGAAGAAAUAGCUCAACUCUGAAAGCGCUAGCCAGACAUGCUCAGGGACAUAACCUCGAACCAUCACAGGAAGAAUCCGUUCAAUCCAUAUGUGGAAGUCAUGACUCUUCAUCCCUAAGACUCGCAGAGUAGAUAAGUUCACCCCCUACCCAGGUUAGCUACAUACCCAUCAAGGAACAUCAACAUCUUGAUCCACUGAAGUACUUCCUUCCUCUGGGCCCUGCUUAGGACAAAAUUGGCCUUAGGCCUUCUCCAUGUCUUUCCACCACUUGGCGGCUUCAUCUCUUGGUUUGGUCUAUCACAUAACGCUGCCAGAUCCACUCUUGCCUUUAUGUUAUCCUUUGACUUAUCAGGAAUGUCCAUAAUUGUUGCCCAAAGUGCCUCGGCAACAUUCUUUUUAGUGUGCAUCGCGUCAAUGUUGUGUGGAAGGAGCAGGUCGUCAUAAUAGGGGAGCCGAGUCAAGCCCGACUUAUGUGUCCACAUAUGCUGCUCACCAUAUCCCAUAAAACCACCUUCUGUAUUGGCCACGAGCCCAUCUAUCUGUUGAUGAAUUUUGGCACCAGUGAUCGUUGCAGGUGGGCGGUCUGUCACUACGACACCUUUCGUAAAGUUCUUGAUGUCUAGGCGGAAUGGAUGGUCAGGAGGGAGAAAUUGUCGAUGUUUAUCGAAGGACGAAUAUUUGCCACCCUUUUUCAACCAAAUGAACCUUAGAGCUUCCUUGCAAACUGGGCAUGGGAACUUACCAUGAACACACUAGGCGCAGAAUAGCCCAUACGCCGGUAAGUCAUGCAUAGAGUACUGGUACCAAACAUGCAUUCUGAAGUUUGUCUUCGUGGCUCGGUCAUACGUCCAUACCCCUUCCUCCCAGGCACGUACCAAUUCAUCGAUCAAAGGCUCCAUGUACACGCCCAUUUUAUUCCCCGGGUGUCCGGGAAUUAUCAACGACACGAAUAUAUUCUGCCUUUGAAAGGACACACCGGGGGGAGAUUGAUUGGGAUAACAAACACGAGCCAACAUGUGUACGGGCAGCGCUCAUUCCAUAGGGAUUGAACCCAUCUGUGGCCAGCGCAACACGUACAUUACGAGCCUCUUCGGCUUUCUCACGGUGAAUGGCAUCAAAGCGUUUCCAUGCUUCACCAUCGGAUGCGUGCACCAUCUUGUCAGGAUUGUAUCGUUUUCCAUUUUUGUGCCAUGUCAUCUGUUUCGCGGAUUCCUCGGUCAUGUAUAGACGCUGGAUCUGCGGUAUGAACGGAAGAUGCCGUAGGAUUGUCAAGGGGAUGUCGAGCUGCCUCUUCUGUCCAUCACCAGAGUCUAGCUCCAUGAACAUAGACGAUUUACACUUGGGAUAGUACUUUGCCUUCGCGUAUUCUUUCUUAAAUAGCACGCAGCCCUUCAGACAAGCAUGUAUCUGCUCAUACGUCAUCUUGAGUGCACGAAGGAGUUUAUGUGCCUCGUACAUGCUCUUUGGCAGAACGUGAUCCUUCGGAAGCAGGCUCCCAAUAACCGUUAACAAGCCAUCGAAUGCGUCUCGACUCAUGUUGUACUACGACUUGAACGCCAUUACACACCCAAUGGCAUCCAGUUGAGAAACCUUUGUCUGGCCGUGAAGGAGCUUUUGUGCCACGUCAAACAUGUCAUAGAAUGCCUUUGCAGUCGGCUCUGGCUCGUCAUCCGUACAUCCACCGACGUACUGUGCCUCCUAAUAGUCGUUCAACAUAUCCGCUACCCUCACAUCGGCAUCAUAAUCCUCGACGCGUUGUCUCAGCACCUCCUCUCUCGUACGAUGCACUUCACCAUGAAAGAUACACCGAGUAUAGUCCGGCAUAAAUCCAUUCUUCUAAAUAUGUUCUACCAUGGCCUUCAUUGAUUUUCUCUUCUGUUUGGCACAUUUGCUGCACAGGCAUGGGACUAGACUCGCUCCUUUAGCAGCUUCGCCAUAUGCCCGUUCCACGAAAUCAUCGGUCUUUCUAAUCCAUUCAGGGGUGACAUCGUUCCUUCCUCUACGGCCCAUGUACAUCCACUCACGGUCCUCCAUCCUCUAACAGAAGCCUAUCAAUAGAAAAUUUUGGCAACACCUCCGCUGCACGGGGAGGUUUCGAAAUCCUACAUAUAAAAGUAUCAGCACGAUGGCUGACAUCCAUGUAUAAUUCAACGGCACGAUGGCCGACAAUCACAUCUAUAUAUAUUCAAUCCAUGAGAGAUAACACAACAAAACUGCAUUUACAUGGAAACUACAUUUACAUGAUUUACAUAUUUCAUUCACAAAUUCUCAAUGAGACUAUAGCCUAACUUACAUGAUUUACAUCCUAUCAUUCACAGAUUUACAUUAUUUACAUCCUAUCAUUCACAAAUUUACAUGAUUUACAUCCUAUCAUCUAAUCAAUAAUAAAUACAAAGUGACACGUAAUAAAUACAAAUCUAAAUCAUGAACAAAUUCAUACCUAGUGGAGAUCGUCGAGGACGGGCGUGAGUCGCGUGGGGGCGGCGGUUGGGCCGCGCGGGUUAGGGCGGUGCGGGUCAGGGCGGUGCCGGCGGGGGGUGGUGCGCGUGGCGGUGCCAGCGGGGAGCCGGCGAGGGGUGGUGCGUGUGGCGGGGCCAGGCGGCGGUGGUGGCUGGGCGGGGAGGCGGGGCGUGGGGAGGCGGGCUCCGACGGCAGAGGCAGUGGGCGCGGGGAGGCGCGGCGGUGGUGGCCGGGUCAUGGGGAGGCAGCGGUGGGGAGGCGGGGCGUGGGGAGGCGCGGUCGUAGGGAGGCGGUGACAGGUGAGGAUGGGCGGGUCGCCGGUGGGGAGGCGGCGGCGGUGAGGACGGGUGAGUGAGAGUGAAAGAGGAGAAGGAGAGGCUGCAGACGGUUAAGUGUCGCUUCUUUGCCGAGUGCCCGCGAUCUGGCACUCGGUAAAGAUUUUUUUAAUUUAAAAAAAUACUUUGCCGAGUGCCUACUGACAGGUACUCGGCAAAGACUGGAUUUAGGGUUUUUGUCGGGUGUCCCACGGCUAUUACUCGGCACAGACGUCUUUGCCGAGUGUCAUCACUAGACACUCGGCAAAGUAUAUUUUUAUUUUUUUAAGUUUCCUUACCAAACUUUUUCUGGUAUGUUCCUACACUAUGUAGACCUACAUGUACCAUUUUGGCACAUUUAUAAAAGUGUUUCCUAUAACUAUUGGAUUUAGUUCGUUUAAUGGAAUUUUCUUCGAUAAUUUAGAUUUGAACUGCAAGUUACUCGAAACUUGGAAAACCGUGUAUGAAAAAAUGAUAUUCAUGCUAUUUAGCACAAGUUAUGACCGAUUUCAAGAGCGGACCAGAAACUUCGAGCACCAAGCUCACUAAACAUGGUCGUGAACUUGCCAUCCAGUUGUUUCAAAAUUGUAUAAGACACAAACAAAGUCAGAAAAUCAUGAAACUUGUCCACAUGUCAUUAUAUCAUAUAUAGAGGCUGUGAUAAAAAUUUGAGAAUGUUUCGAAAAAGUUGUGAGACGGUAUGUGUAUGAACCUAAGAGAAGUACACAUGAAAUCACAGAGUUUCAAUGUACUUCUCUUAGGUUUAUACACAUACUUUCUCACAACUUUCUCGAAACAUUCUCAAAUUUUUAUCACAACCUCUAAAUAUGAUAUCAUGAAAUGUGGACAAGUUUUAUGAUUUUCUGACUUUGUUUGUGUUUUAUACAAUUUUGAAACAGUUGAAUGGCAAGUUCAUGACCAUGUUUAGUGAGCUUGGUUCUCGAAGUUUCCGGUCCGCUCCUGAAAUUGGUCGUAACUUAUGCUAAAUAGCAUGAAUAUCAUUUGUGCAUGCACGAUUUUCCAAGUUUUGAGUGACUUGCAGUUCAAAUCUGAAUUAUCGAAGAAAAUUCCAUUAAACGAACUAAAUCCAAUAGUUAUAGGAAACACUUUUAUAAUUGUGCCAAAAUGGUACAUGUAGGUCUACAUAGUGUAGGAAUAUACCACAAAAAGUUUGGUAAGAAAACUUAAAAAAAUAAAAAUAUACUUUGCCGAGUGUCUAUGGAUGACUCUCGGCAAAGACGUCUGUGACGAGUGUCAGCCGUGGGACACUCGGCAAAGAAGCUUCUUUGCCGAGUGUCAACGCCCGACGCUCGGCAAAAUCUAACGGCCGUCAGUUAUAGACGGCUGCUGACGGCCUUUUGCCGAGGGCCGCCUUCGCCGAGAGUUUAGCACUCGGCAAAGAUAGCUUUGCUGAGUGUAGUUUUUUUCCGUGAGUCCUGCUCUCGGCAAACACGUUCGUUACCGAGAGCUAGACUGUGUCGAGUGCCCGACAAAAAGCACUCGGCCAAGGGCCAAGCACUCGGCAAAGCCACAGAUUCCGGUAGUGUAUAUAUACUCUAAUCGUAGCGUUAGCAUGGGAUAUAUGCCAGUGACAACAACAACAUUAGUAAUAAUAAGAUCCUAAGACAAUUAAAGAAUAUAUAAGUUUUUUUAGUUCUUUAUAUAUUUCUAAUUGGCGUAACCAAUAGUUACGUUUCUUAUGUUAAAAACUAUACACCCUAGAAAUAUCUAUUGGUAUUCCUAAACUUCGCAUGAAUCACUACUACAGAAUGAAAUAUCUAUACCAGUUGAGAAUUGGUCACGGUACCGAAUUUCCAACCGGUACUUGUCAUUUAGAAUUAAAGACCUCAGUUUUUAAUACCGGUUGUAUGAACCCGUACUAAAGUUGAAACUUUGGUACCGGUUCUUGGCAUGAACCGAUACUAAAGAUGUAACUUUUAGUACCGCUUCAUGCCAAGAAUCGGUACUAAAUGUUACAUCUUUAGUACCGGUUAGAACUGUUACUAAAAUAUUAAUGGACUUUUUAUUAUAUGCUUACGCACAUUAAAAUGGUUGUGUACAUUAAUUUAUUUAUAUAUAUACAUAUGUAAAUGUGUAGAUUCAUAUAUACAUGUGUAGAAUCAAUAAUAUAUACAUUAAUAUUCAUGUGUAGAUUCAAAUAUACAAAUGGAUAUUUAUAUUAACAGUAAUACAUACAAAUGCCUAUGAAGUUUCCUAACUUCUAAAAAUAUCUCUAUUUCUAUGUUCUUAAUAUGAAUCUUCUUUAUCUUCUGCAUGUUGAAGAUUUUGUCGAUCAUAAUAGAACUCUCCUUCUUUGGAUACGACAUCUCUAUUUAUAAAAGCAUAUAAGUUGUUAUUGAAUUGCUUCUAUCCUAUCCAUAGUGAAUACUUUUUCCUUCAUCUUUAUUAUCUGUCAUUUGCCAAUAACAUUGAUAAAAAGUGUUAUUGUAUUAAAUUGAAAGCUGGUAUACUUUAUUGAUAUGAAAUUAACAUCAACACUGUAGAAAAUGUUGAUGUACCUCGAUAUUUUUGGCCACUGACUUGUUACCUAUGAAUGUCUGAAUAAAUUCACAAAUGUAGUAACCAUAGAGGUGGUUUCCUUUUUCCUAUAUCAAACACUAAAAUCGAGAAACAAGUAAUGAAUUAUUAUUAGCAAAUAACUUGAGGGAUCGGAAAGCUACAAACGUACAUGAAAGUUUGACCUAAUCUAAAGAGUUUCUUUUAGGCUGACAUGCUUUUUCAUAGCCAACUCAUGCACUGCAUAAUGAAAAUUACAAGUCUUUGGUACAUGCAUGAUUCAAUUAUUUAGAGGUUUAUAGAGUUAGGUUUGAAUGGUAAGAAUUACUCUUUAAGAAGGUAUAUUAUUUCUUUUAAGUCAUCGACUUGCUUCCUCAAGGAGUCAAGGAUAAAUAUAAUACCUUCUUCCAUUAAGAUCACCAAAAGUACCCAUUGAAAGUUGUAGGAAAGUUACAAAAAGGUAGAACAAAUUAGAAAUACACAUUUAGUCUAAAAAGGUAUGGGUACAAAAAGAUAAUGGACACUAACUUAAAAUUAUAUGGAAUUAGUAUACAUUACAUAUAGUGUUGCUUUGUGAAGGAACUUGUGCGGUCUUUGUAGGAUAGCCGACCGAUAUCCCUAAUUGUUAUUUGGUUUAUGUGCACUAGGUCCAUGAAGUCAAUAUUGAAAAUCCCUUCUUUACAACAUCGUUGGAUGUCCAUGCUUUAGAAAACAUAGUAGGUGUAAGAGAACUUCAGUUAGCAUUGAAUAUAUAUUAUUCAGUAGUGGACAAGAGAGAAGGUAAAUACUUAUAGAACUCAGGUGCUGGGUCUAACGCAUUCCACCGGUAUAUAUCAAAUAUAUUGUUAAAAUCGAGCCACAUCACAUCAACAUUGUUGAAGUAGUGGUCUUGUAUAAACACACAAAAGGUGACCCUAUCAGCGGUUGAAUCCUUCAAAUAUCAACUGUCUUGGAAUCUGUUCAAUUGUGUUGUAAGUUCGGAACCUCUUCUAGAGUAUAGGCCGACCUUGCUUGAAUUGCCAUGCAAACUAAUGUGAUGGCAUAUUUUCUUUGUGUAUUUUUUCUUUUCUUUUUCAAGCAUGUGCCCAUAGUUUUGUACCAUCUAGAAUACAAGAUUACCACUUCAGUGAAUUGGCUUGGCACGAUGGUAUACUUGCCCAUUCCAAUGCUUAGCUUUUCUUCUUAAUGGGUGUUUAGCCACAAGAAAUCAACGAUGGGUUGUAUAAACAAUUUUUCUAUAGUGACGUAGAUACAAGCAUCUGUCUCAUCUAAACAAUGGGUGCAGACAUUGAAUCCAUUAUCCUAAUAGAUUUGAAUGUGCAGGCCAAUUGUUGAUGGUUAUGAAUAACAAAGCACAUCAUUAAAAGCCUUCUUGUGCUCGUCCCACAUACAACACCUUUGGACCACAAUUGUAAAAAGCUCAUCCACCAAUGGUUUUAGGUACGCAUCAAUGUUGUUAAUAGAUUGUUUUGGCCCUUCAAUAAGCAGCAGCAUCAUUAUGAACUUUUGCUUUAUACAUAGCCAGGGUAUACAUAUAUAGAGUCACAUGCUGAGGAUAUGACCACUGCCCUACUCGCUGAAAGGGUUCAUGCCAUCGGUGGUUAAACCAAACCUUACAUUUUUUGCAUCCUCUACAAACUCUAAGAAUGUUCUAUUAACUUUACACCAAUGUGAACCAUUACUCUCUUCUUUGUGCAACCACAUUAUCUUGGUGUGCUCUUUGUUACGAAACAAAUGUUUCAAUCGUGGUAUUAUAGGGAAGUACUGUUGGUCACUUGUUUUCAAUUGCUAUGAAUCAAAAACAAGGCAACACACACAUGUUAAACGUUAAGGACCUUCAUCCUUCGAAGCAUUAUCCUCUUUCAGAGAUAAUGACUCUUGUACGAAGGUCAUGAAGAAUGAGUCUUUAUUUUUCAUAAGUAUAAUAUUACAAUGUAACAUUAUAACAAUUACUUAUUUCAUCUCGCAUGCCAGGAUGAUGUUAAGGUAUGUAUUAUAUAUAUUAAUAAAGUGGUACAAAUUAUAUAUUACAUUUGUACCUUCGGCUUGCUCGAAAGAGAGAAUGCGAGUACAACUUUUCAAUCCAACGUGAAUAGUACGGGGUAAUAUUCAUCUAUUUAUAGGCAAGGGACGCAGCCCAAGCAGAAGUACAAUUAUGACCCUGAUAUCUACACAUUGCUCUAAUACAAAUAUCAAGGAUAAACAAGUCUUUUCCUUGCUGGCUUGGUGUCAUGUAUGACCUUCGUGACCAUCUUAAGUCGAAGCUCCAAUUCUUGUCGAAGCUUCGCUACAUUUUAUGCAUGUUUGUUGCAUCUUUGGCACUUAGUUCCUUUGAUUACAAAUAGUUUCUUCAUCCUAAGGACCUUCAGCAUAGAAGGAGACCCCCAAUAGUAGCCCCUUCGUGGUGCUAGGUCGUUUUUUUCAUAACGAGCUUGAUUCGCGAAACACACGAAGGCUUUUGAAUGCCGAAGGUCCAAAAACACCUUCUCAGUUAGUAUGAGCGGCGCGGCAGUAUGCCUUCUUCACAUGCAAGGCUAUAUAAAUAGGUUGGUUGGUAAGAAGUUAUUACAUCAUUCCUUGCUUUUGCACUGUUGUUGUUGGGGGUAUUCUUCUCCGCCGAAGGUCCUCAAGGAAAAAACACCUUCGACAAAAUGAUACAAAGGUUUGCCGAAGUCACCUUCAGCCUUGAUUUAGCUCCUCAAGACGAAGACUCUGUAUAGAGGCAACAAUGCAAGAUGUCGAAGGUCAAUGGCCUCAACCCAGAUCAAGCAAGGAAGAAAAAAGGACCAGAUAGGCCUUAUUGGUUUUAGUUACAUGUAAACAAGAGUUCAGGGGCAUGAAUGUAAUUUUAUCCGGACUGCGUCCCGUGACUAUAAAUAGAUGAAUAAUACCCCCGUACUGUUCACGCUGGAUUGUAAUCACUCUCGCGCCAUUUUCGCUCUCUUACCUUCUGGCAAGCCGAAGGUGUCAAUAUAAUAUGAAUAUUGUUUAUGUUUAUUCAUGUUUAUGGAAUAUAAUAAUAAAUGAAUAGUUGAUACAUAACAAUUAUUAUCUUCAUUUUUAUAUUCCUUCACUUGCUUAUUUGUAUUCAUGUUUAUAUGUUGAAAUGAUGAAGGUGUGUCCUUCAUGACCUUCGUCUGAAGACCAUUAUAUCUGAGAGGAAAUAAUGCUUCGAAGGACGAAGGUCUUUAACUAUUGACAAUUGUGUUGCCUUGUUCUUGAUUUAUAGUAUUCGAGAACAAGUGACCAACAUUGGCGCCCACCUCCGGUGAACUCACUUCCGCAACUGCGACAAUGGCUUCGCAAGGCAACCAAGCUGCGCCACCUUCGACUACGAAGCUGGCGCUCCCAAUCACAGGCGGCUCAAGUUCUGAACCAGCCAACAAGAAACAGAAGAAGGAAGCACAGAGAAGGGUACAACAUGUUGAUGUGCAAGGACCCUUCAUCAGGUCCAAAUGGUCUCACAUACCAAUUACCUUCUCUCAGGAAGACCUUCAGCUUUAAGAUUAUCCUCACAACGAUGCAAUGGUCAUAUCUUGUGUCAUCAAGGGAUUUUUGGUCCAUAAUGUCCUGGUGGUCACAGGCAAUGCAGCGAACAUCAUUUUCAUGAAGGCUUUCAAGCAAAUGCAAGAGCCGGAUGACAAGAUACAUGAUGCAACACCCCCCUUUGUGGUUUCGGAGGAAGACAGAUUGUAGCGCUCGGCAAGAUAACCAUGUCAGUUACCUUCGGCUACGUUCACCACACAAGGACAGAACAGGUUGUCUUCGACAUUGUUGAUAUGGAAUAUCCAUAGAAUGCAAUCAUUGGUCGAGGGACACUCAAUGCCUUCGAAUCAAUACUUCAUCCAGCAUAUCUUUGCAUGAAGAUACAUUCGGAACAAGGCCCCAUUGUUGUACAUGAGAGUCAAGAAGCUGCUAGGAGAGCCGAAGUAAGUUGGACGGAUUCGAAGGCCAUCCAUAAUAUAGAUGAGGCCGAAGCUCAUCAGCAAUAUAAGCAUAAAAGAGAAAAGGCUGCUUCGGCAGAUCAACCAAAGUCCAUGCUUUUGUGUGAAGACAUAGCUGAGCAAAAGGUGCUAUUGGGAUCUCAAUUAUCUGAUGAGCAAGAGAAGACCUUGCUAAGAUUUUUGUUUAAUAAUAAAGAUGUUUUUGCUUGGUCAGCUAAUGAUAUCUGUGGUGUCAAUAGAGAUAUUAUUGAGCACUCGCUCAACGUAGACCCGUCCUUCAGACCAAGAAAACAGAGGCUUCGGAAAAUGUCCGAUGAUAAAGCCGAAGGUGCACGAAACGAAGUGAAAAGACUUCUAAGUGCCGGCAUUAUCAGAGAAGUGACAUACCCAGAGUGGCUGGCCAAUACCGUCAUGGUAAAGAAAGCAAACAGAAAAUGGAGAAUGUGUAUUGACUUUACAGAUCUCAAUAAGGCAUGCACGAAGGAUGAAUUCCCACUUCCAAGAAUAUAUUCCCUUUGCAAGUAUCUUCAUCCUCUGCUGAAGCUAGAGUUAUUGCUUCAUCGCCAAAUAGAAGUUUAAACGGAGUGAAACCCGUUGAUCUUGAAACCACAUUAUUGUGAUUCCACACCAGCUUUACUAAUUCAUCUGGACACUUUCUCUUUGGCAGAUUAAAGAUUGACCUCAUUAUUCCUUUGAUAAUGAUUCCAUUUGAUCGCUCUACUAAGUCGUUGGACUCUGGAUGUCUUACCAAUGCGAAAUGUAUCUUUGUUCUAAUUUGAUCACAGAAAGUUUUAAAUCUUCGGAGCGAAACUGUGCUCCAUUAUCAACUGUGAUGGCCUUCGGCACCCCAAACCGGCAGAUGAUAUUUUUCCAGAAAAGUUUCUAGAUUGUGGCUGAUGUUAUUAUAGCUAGUGGUUUAGCUUCGAUCCAUUUUGAGAAAUACUCCACUGCUACUACAACAUAUCUCAUAUUUCCUUGGGCUGGUGGAAGUGGUCCUAAUAAAUCUAAUCCCCAUCUCUGUAAUGGCUAAGUGGGCUGAAUUAGUUGUGUUAGAGAUGAAGGUUGCUUUUGAUCCCUGGCACACUCCUGACAAUUCUCACAUUUUUGCACUAGGUCUGCUGCAUCCAAAGCAGCCUUCGGCUAAUAGAAACCUUGUCUAAAUACCUUGCCUAAGAGUGGCCUGAAUCCAAUAUGUGCUUCACAUAUUCCUGAUUGUAUUUCUUUCAUCAACUCUUGACCUGCGACUUUGGAUAAACAUUUCAGCAAUGGGGAGCAGACCCCUUGUUUAAAAAA